CGGGACGGGUGAGUAACGCGUGGGUAACCGGCCUCAUACAGGGGGAUAACAGUUAGAAAUGACUGCUAAUACCGCAUAAGCGCACAGUACCACAUGGUACGGUGUGAAAAACUACCGGUGGUAUGAGAUGGACCCGCGUCUGAUUAGCUAGUUGGUGAGGUAACGGCUCACCAAGGCGACGAUCAGUAGCCGACCUGAGAGGGUGACCGGCCACAUUGGGACUGAGACACGGCCCAA
This 237-nucleotide ribosomal RNA is filed under the name uncultured bacterium. Its description in RNAcentral is "partial 16S ribosomal RNA". It matches the Rfam family "Bacterial small subunit ribosomal RNA", at positions 100 to 334 of the family's 1533-position model. The record is from RNAcentral.